This 248-nucleotide long non-coding RNA is filed under the name Parus major (Great Tit). RNAcentral describes it as "lncRNA (ENSPMJG00000003961.1)". Lineage: Eukaryota; Metazoa; Chordata; Aves; Passeriformes; Paridae. The record is from RNAcentral.
AUGUCCAAUAAUUUUGAUACUCUCCAAUUCAGGCUACUGAAGAAGUACUUAAAUGCAGCACAUCAAGCAGAUUUCCAACCCUGUCCUCCUUCUUUCAGUGAUUUAGACCAUACCCUUCCCGUGCAGUUAAUUCCCCUUGCAGAUAUUGAGAUAAAUUCAAGUGAAAAAAGAGUAUCUCAGAUUCUUCAUUUGUCUGAGAAUUAAGUCUGGGUCACCUGUCUCUGGCUCAUCAUUUAGUACAAUUCUCC